UACGUAGGGUGCGAGCGUUAAUCGGAAUUACUGGGCGUAAAGCGUGCGUAGACGGUCGCGUAAGUCAGAUGUGAAAGCCCCGGGCUCAACCUGGGAAUUGCAUUUGAGACUGCUCUGCUCGGGUGCGGAAGAGGGAAGCGGAAUUUCCGGUGUAGCGGUGAAAUGCGUAGAUAUCGGAAGGAACACCAGUGGCGAAAGCGGCUUCCUGGUCCGACACCGACGUUCAGGCACGAAAGCGUGGGGAGCAAACAGG
Molecule: ribosomal RNA, 253 nt
Filed under: uncultured bacterium
Lineage: Bacteria
Description: partial 16S ribosomal RNA
Rfam family: Bacterial small subunit ribosomal RNA
Source: RNAcentral